AAUAGAUACCCGGGUAGUCCACGCCGUAAACGAUGAGUGCUAAGUGUUAGGGGGUUUCCGCCCCUUAGUGCUGCAGCUAACGCAUUAAGCACUCCGCCUGGGGAGUACGGUCGCAAGACUGAAACUCAAAGGAAUUGACGGGGGCCCGCACAAGCGGUGGAGCAUGUGGUUUAAUUCGAAGCAACGCGAAGAACCUUACCAGGUCUUGACAUCCCACUGACCGCUAUGGAGACAUAGUUUUCCCUUCGGGGACAGUGGCGACAGGUGGUGCAUGGUUGUCGUCAGCUCGUGUCGUGAGAUGUUGGGUUAAGUCCCGCAACGAGCGCAACCCUUGAUCUUAGUUGCCAUCAUUUAGUUGGGCACUCUAAGGUGACUGCCGGUGACAAACCGGAGGAAGGUGGGGAUGACGUCAAAUCAUCAUGCCCCUUAUGACCUGGGCUACACACGUGCUACAAUGGACGGUACAAACGGUUGCCAACCCGCGAGGGGAGCUAAUCCGAUAAAACCGUUCUCAGUUCGGAUUGUAGGCUGCAACUCGCCUAC
Molecule: ribosomal RNA, 543 nt
Filed under: uncultured bacterium
Lineage: Bacteria
Description: bacterial SSU rRNA
Rfam family: Bacterial small subunit ribosomal RNA
Source: RNAcentral